This 761-nucleotide long non-coding RNA is filed under the name Volvox carteri. RNAcentral's name for it is "long non-coding RNA (VCAR_LNC003149)". Lineage: Eukaryota; Viridiplantae; Chlorophyta; Chlorophyceae; Chlamydomonadales; Volvocaceae. The record is from RNAcentral.
GCCCCGGGCGUUGGCGCGUUCGGUGGUUGAGUGCCUAAGUGUCACGGCCGGCCACUGGUCCAACUUGAAAUAAUCGGUCAUUAGUGGGGGGGGGGGUAGGGGGUUAAGCCGAUCAGCAGGGAAAACCGGGGGAUACUAAGCCGAUCAGCGGGGCAGUGUAAUCGAGGCGCAAGCCGCGGUUCGGAGUGGUGGUUGAUGCAACUACGGUGGUAGAUAGGCAGCACGGUGGCAGCGUCGGUUGGGGCCAGACCCGGUGGCAUCGCUGCUGUGGUCCGUUUAGCGUUAACAUAGUGUAACAAUGAGGACAAGAAGCCUAAGCCACCCACCUAUAGCUCUCCUAAACCUCUCCAUAACAUUCACCUCCAUCAUGAGAUGUGGGUUGAAGCCCAACCAUCCUGAUAACAUAUCCAUGCAAGCGCAGCGCCAUCCAUGUAUAGCCCCAGCUGCACUGAUAAAAAUUUUACGUUAUGAAACAUGGAAGGGGUGCAAUGCCGCGACGAGGGUUUUAUUGGAGGUGUACAUGCAUGCUAUUUUCUUAUAAAUUUAAGAAGCGUCCCCAAGCGUCUUUAAGCGGGAGUCACAGCCACAUACUUGUUACAGCUGUCGCGCCACAGCACCGAACCCAACCUAAUCCGGCCGCAAAUGCCUAAAUGCCCAUUUCAUCAGCUCAAAGCUAUGGGGGAAGGUCGUUAGUUGUGGUGGAUAACGGCCAGCGAUUUUUCCAAAAGUAAGCCAAGCUGACCUGUAGGGAGCUGUCGUCA